AGAGUUUGAUCCUGGCUCAGAUUGAACGCUGGCGGCAGGCCUAACACAUGCAAGUCGAGCGGUAACAGGAAUUAGCUUGCUAAUUCGCUGACGAGCGGCGGACGGGUGAGUAAUGCCUGGGAAUAUGCCUUAGUGUGGGGGAUAACUAUUGGAAACGAUAGCUAAUACCGCAUAAUGUCUUCGGACCAAAGAGGGGGAUCUUCGGACCUCUCGCGCUAAGAUUAGCCCAGGUGAGAUUAGCUUGUUGGUGAGGUAAGAGCUCACCAAGGCGACGAUCUCUAGCUGGUCUGAGAGGAUGAUCAGCCACACUGGAACUGAGACACGGUCCAGACUCCUACGGGAGGCAGCAGUGGGGAAUAUUGCACAAUGGGCGAAAGCCUGAUGCAGCCAUGCCGCGUGUAUGAAGAAGGUCCUGGUUGUAAGUACUUUACUAGUCGUGUAGGAAGG
Molecule: ribosomal RNA, 447 nt
Filed under: uncultured bacterium
Lineage: Bacteria
Description: bacterial SSU rRNA
Rfam family: Bacterial small subunit ribosomal RNA
Source: RNAcentral